Molecule: ribosomal RNA, 469 nt
Filed under: uncultured organism
Description: partial 16S ribosomal RNA
Rfam family: Bacterial small subunit ribosomal RNA
Source: RNAcentral
ACUCCUACGGGAGGCAGCAGUGGGGAAUUUUGGACAAUGGGCGAAAGCCUGAUCCAGCAAUGCCGCGUGAGUGAAGAAGGCCUUCGGGUUGUAAAGCUCUUUUGUCAGGGAAGAAACGGUGAAAGCUAAUAUCUUUUGCUAAUGACGGUACCUGAAGAAUAAGCACCGGCUAACUACGUGCCAGCAGCCGCGGUAAUACGUAGGGUGCAAGCGUUAAUCGGAAUUACUGGGCGUAAAGCGUGCGCAGGCGGUUUUGUAAGUCUGAUGUGAAAUCCCCGGGCUCAACCUGGGAAUUGCAUUGGAGACUGCAAGGCUAGAAUCUGGCAGAGGGGGGUAGAAUUCCACGUGUAGCAGUGAAAUGCGUAGAUAUGUGGAGGAACACCGAUGGCGAAGGCAGCCCCCUGGGUCAAGAUUGACGCUCAUGCACGAAAGCGUGGGGAGCAAACAGGAUUAGAAACCCGAGUAGUCC